UACGUAGGGUGCAAGCGUUGUCCGGAUUUACUGGGUGUAAAGGGUUCUCAGGUGGCUUGGAAAGUCAGUGGUGAAAUCUCAGAGCUUAACUCUCAAACUGCCAUUGAUACUUCUUAGCUUGAGUACGGAAGAGGCUGAUGGAAUUUCAGGUGUAGCAGUGAAAUGCGUAGAUAUCUGAAAGAACACCAGUGGCGAAGGCGGUCAGCUGGUCCGUUACUGACACUAAAGCACGAAAGCGUGGGUAGCAAACGGG
RNAcentral lists this ribosomal RNA (253 nucleotides) under uncultured bacterium. RNAcentral's name for it is "partial 16S ribosomal RNA". It matches the Rfam family "Bacterial small subunit ribosomal RNA", at positions 524 to 776 of the family's 1533-position model. The record is from RNAcentral.